GUUUUAUUAACAGGUUUCAUUAACAAGUUCCAGCAUUUUGCAGCCAGAUUGGAAAUGAAAUAUUGAAUAUUAAACCUUGACCUCAAAGAUCAUUUAAUAUUCAUCUAUUUUUAAUUAGAAAACAUAGAAAACACUGUUCUUUUCCUUUUAUCCACACUUUAACACAUGUAUCACUUUUACUCCAUUCAAACAAAAUGCCUUACAAUGUGUAGUAUAACAUGUUUCAUUGAAGUCCAAAGAGAUUUUACUGCAUUUCUUUUCUCUGGACAAGAAAUUAUUUUAUGAAACGGAAGAGAUUGGGCUAUUCCAGCAUGAUCUAUUUCUGGGUUGCUUAUUACCUCAUUCUCUAUUUUGUCUUUGGCUGUUCUUUGUUCCUUCAGAAUGUGAUUUCAAUUUUACAUAGUUUUAUGGAAAAGUGAAUGAAUCUACAUUUGUCUAGUUCUCUUCUUCCUGCUCAUGAUGUUCUUGCUUGACAAAAAAAAAAAGAGCAGUGAAAUGUGAAUUUGUGUUGUUCCAGAACCUGCCAUGAAACAGCGCUGCGCUCCUUUUAUUUGGGUGCAGGGUGGAUAUCUGUGCAACUCUGGUCUCUCCACAGGCUGCAGGGGAGCAACUCCCACGUCUGCAGAACCUCUGUCCCUCCUUCCUCCCUGGCCUGGCUGUUGCCAAGGUCGUUUCUCACACUUUUGCCCUCACUCCUCACUGCUGAGCAGCAUUUUGCCCUUACUCCAACAUGCUUUGCCAGUGGCAGUGCUGCUGGGCCUAGCCGGGCCUUGCACUGGGGCCUGGUGACAGCUGGGACCAGCCAGGAUCUGACAGAGGCCUCAUGGCCACACUGCUACCACCAAAACCUGAACACGUACACCCAGUGCAGAACGGUUUGGAGGAAACUGUCAUUCAUGAGACACUUCUGUACCUGCAAACACGUUCUUCCUGGAGACUGUGUGUUCUCUCUGAAGAGAGAGCUGUAUGUUAUACAGUCCCCUAAGAGCCUCUGCGUCUAUUUUCCAGUCCAGCUGAUUGUGCUUGGCUCUCUACCAUGUCACAGCAGCAAAGGAAGGCUUGUAGACAACCUGAGAUCUACUUUGAGCAGUGAGACCUAA
RNAcentral lists this long non-coding RNA (1100 nucleotides) under Anser brachyrhynchus (Pink-footed goose). RNAcentral's name for it is "lncRNA (ENSABRG00000011256.1)". The record is from RNAcentral. Lineage: Eukaryota; Metazoa; Chordata; Aves; Anseriformes; Anatidae.